RNAcentral lists this ribosomal RNA (440 nucleotides) under uncultured bacterium. RNAcentral describes it as "partial 16S ribosomal RNA". It matches the Rfam family "Bacterial small subunit ribosomal RNA", at positions 338 to 795 of the family's 1533-position model. The record is from RNAcentral.
CCUACGGGUGGCAGCAGUAGGGAAUAUUGCUCAAUGGGGGAAACCCUGAAGCAGCAACGCCGCGUGGAGGAUGAAGGUUUUCGGAUUGUAAACUCCUUUUGUUAGAGAAGAUAAUGACGGUAUCUAGCGAAUAAGCACCGGCUAACUCCGUGCCAGCAGCCGCGGUCAUACGGAGGGUGCAAGCGUUACUCGGAAUCACUGGGCGGAAAGAGCUCGUAGGCGGGAUAGCAAGUCAGAUGUGAAAUCAUAUGGCUUAACCAUAGAAAUGCAUUUGAAACUGUUAUUCUAGAGUAUGGGAGAGGUAGGUGGAAAUCUUGGUGUAGGGGUAAAAUCCGUAGAGAUCAAGAGGAAUACUCAUUGCGAAGGCGACCUGCGAGAACAUAACUGACGGUGGUGCGCGAAAGCGUGGGGAGGAAACAGGAUUAGAUACCCUUGUAGUC